AGAGUUUGAUCAUGGCUCAGGACGAACGCUGGCGGCGUGCUUAACACAUGCAAGUCGAACGAGGUCCAUGGAGCUUGCUCCGGAAGACCUAGUGGCGAACGGGUGCGUAACACGUGAGAAACCUGCCCCAGACUUGGGAAUAACAGUCGGAAACGACUGCUAAUACCGAAUACCUUCACGACGUCGCAUGGCGAUGUGAAGAAAGCUUUUGCGGUUUGGGAGGGUCUCGCGGCCUAUCAGCUAGUUGGUGAGGUAACGGCUCACCAAGGCAUCGACGGGUAGCUGGUCUGAGAGGAUGAUCAGCCACACUGGGACUGAGACACGGCCCAGACUCCUACGGGAGGCAGCAGUGGGGAAUAUUGCACAAUGGGCGCAAGCCUGAUGCAGCAACGCCGCGUGCGGGAAGAAGGCCCUAGGGUUGUAAACCGCUUUCAGCAGGGAAGAAAAUGACGGUACCUGCAGAAGAAGGUGCGGCCAACUACGUGCCAGCAGCCGCGGUGACACGUAGGCACCAAGCGUUGUCCGGAUUUAUUGGGCGUAAAGAGCUCGUAGGCGGUUUGGUAAGUCGGGUGUGAAAACUCUGGGCUCAACCCAGAGACGCCACCCGAUACUGCUAUGACUUGAGUACGGUAGGGGAGUGGGGAAUUCCUGGUGUAGCGGUGAAAUGCGCGAUAUCAGGAGGAACACCAGUGGCGAAGGCGCCACUCUGGGCCGUAACUGACGCUGAGGAGCGAAAGCGUGGGUAGCAAACAGGAUUAGAUACCCUAGUAGUCC
This 774-nucleotide ribosomal RNA is filed under the name uncultured bacterium. Its description in RNAcentral is "bacterial SSU rRNA". It matches the Rfam family "Bacterial small subunit ribosomal RNA", at positions 8 to 796 of the family's 1533-position model. The record is from RNAcentral.